RNAcentral lists this ribosomal RNA (1393 nucleotides) under Salmonella enterica subsp. enterica serovar Newport. Its description in RNAcentral is "bacterial LSU rRNA". It matches the Rfam family "Bacterial large subunit ribosomal RNA", at positions 1568 to 2925 of the family's 2925-position model. The record is from RNAcentral. Lineage: Bacteria; Pseudomonadati; Pseudomonadota; Gammaproteobacteria; Enterobacterales; Enterobacteriaceae.
GACGAGGCACUACGGUGCUGAAGCAACAAAUGCCCUGCUUCCAGGAAAAGCCUCUAAGCAUCAGGUAACAUCAAAUCGUACCCCAAACCGACACAGGUGGUCAGGUAGAGAAUACCAAGGCGCUUGAGAGAACUCGGGUGAAGGAACUAGGCAAAAUGGUGCCGUAACUUCGGGAGAAGGCACGCUGACACGUAGGUGAAGUGAUUUACUCACGGAGCUGAAGUCAGUCGAAGAUACCAGCUGGCUGCAACUGUUUAUUAAAAACACAGCACUGUGCAAACACGAAAGUGGACGUAUACGGUGUGACGCCUGCCCGGUGCCGGAAGGUUAAUUGAUGGGGUCAGCGCAAGCGAAGCUCCUGAUCGAAGCCCCGGUAAACGGCGGCCGUAACUAUAACGGUCCUAAGGUAGCGAAAUUCCUUGUCGGGUAAGUUCCGACCUGCACGAAUGGCGUAAUGAUGGCCAGGCUGUCUCCACCCGAGACUCAGUGAAAUUGAACUCGCUGUGAAGAUGCAGUGUACCCGCGGCAAGACGGAAAGACCCCGUGAACCUUUACUAUAGCUUGACACUGAACAUUGAGCCUUGAUGUGUAGGAUAGGUGGGAGGCUUUGAAGCGUGGACGCCAGUCUGCGUGGAGCCGACCUUGAAAUACCACCCUUUAAUGUUUGAUGUUCUAACGUGGACCCGUAAUCCGGGUUGCGGACAGUGUCUGGUGGGUAGUUUGACUGGGGCGGUCUCCUCCUAAAGAGUAACGGAGGAGCACGAAGGUUGGCUAAUCCUGGUCGGACAUCAGGAGGUUAGUGCAAUGGCAUAAGCCAGCUUGACUGCGAGCGUGACGGCGCGAGCAGGUGCGAAAGCAGGUCAUAGUGAUCCGGUGGUUCUGAAUGGAAGGGCCAUCGCUCAACGGAUAAAAGGUACUCCGGGGAUAACAGGCUGAUACCGCCCAAGAGUUCAUAUCGACGGCGGUGUUUGGCACCUCGAUGUCGGCUCAUCACAUCCUGGGGCUGAAGUAGGUCCCAAGGGUAUGGCUGUUCGCCAUUUAAAGUGGUACGCGAGCUGGGUUUAGAACGUCGUGAGACAGUUCGGUCCCUAUCUGCCGUGGGCGCUGGAGAACUGAGGGGGGCUGCUCCUAGUACGAGAGGACCGGAGUGGACGCAUCACUGGUGUUCGGGUUGUCAUGCCAAUGGCACUGCCCGGUAGCUAAAUGCGGAAGAGAUAAGUGCUGAAAGCAUCUAAGCACGAAACUUGCCCCGAGAUGAGUUCUCCCUGAGACUUAGAGUCUCCUGAAGGAACGUUGAAGACGACGACGUUGAUAGGCCGGGUGUGUAAGCGCAGCGAUGCGUUGAGCUAACCGGUACUAAUGAACCGUGAGGCUUAACCUUACAACGCCGAAG